AUUGAACGCUGGCGGCAGGCCUAACACAUGCAAGUCGAGCGGAUGAAGGGAGCUUGCUCCUGGAUUCAGCGGCGGACGGGUGAGUAAUGCCUAGGAAUCUGCCUGGUCGUGGGGGAUAACGUCCGGAAACGGGCGCUAAUAUCGCAUACGUCCUGUGGGAGAAAGUGGGGGAUCUUCGGACCUCACGCUAUCAGAUGAGCCUAGGUCGGAUGAGCUAGUUGGUGGGGUAAAGGCCUACCAAGGCGACGAUGCGUAACUGGUCUGAGAGGAUGAUCAGUCACCCUGGAACUGAGACACGGUCCAGGCUCCUACGGGAGGCAGCAGUGGGGAAUAUUGGACGAUGGGCGAAAUCCUGAUCCAGCCAUGCCGGGUGGGUGAAGAAGGUCUUCGGGUUGUAAAGCACUUUAAGUUGGGAGGAAGGGCAUUAAGUUAAUACCUUGCUGUUUUGACGGUACCAACAGAAUAAGCACCGGCUAACUUCGUG
Molecule: ribosomal RNA, 484 nt
Filed under: uncultured bacterium
Lineage: Bacteria
Description: partial 16S ribosomal RNA
Rfam family: Bacterial small subunit ribosomal RNA
Source: RNAcentral